AGCAGCCGCGGUAAUUCCAGCUCCAAUAGCGUAUAUUAAAGUUGUUGCAGUUAAAAAGCUCGUAGUUGAAUUUCGGGGUUAGUAGGUUGGUCAUGCCUCUGGUAUGUACUGGUCUCACUGAUUCCUCCUUCCUGAUGAACCUUAAUGCCAUUUAUUUGGUGUUUUGGGGAAUUUGGACUGUUACUUUGAAAAAUUAGAGUGUUUAAAGCAAGCUAACGCUUGAAUACAUUAGCAUGGAAUAAUGAAAUAGGACGUUCGAUCCUAUUUUGUUGGUUUCUAGGAUUGACGUAAUGAUUAAUAGGGAUAGUUGGGGGCAUUAGUAUUCAAUUGUCAGAGGUGAAAUUCUUGGAUUUAUUGAAGACUAACUACUGCGAAAGCAUUUGCCAAGGAUGUUUUCAUUAAUCAAGAACGAAAGUUAGGGAUCGAAGACGAUCAGAUACCGUCGUAGUCUUAACCAUAAACUAUGCCGACUAGGGAUCGGAUGAUGUUUAAUUUUUUAAUGACUCAUUCGGCGCCUUAC
Molecule: unclassified non-coding RNA, 520 nt
Filed under: uncultured Glomus
Lineage: Eukaryota; Fungi; Glomeromycota; Glomeromycetes; Glomerales; Glomeraceae
Description: SSU rRNA
Rfam family: Eukaryotic small subunit ribosomal RNA
Source: RNAcentral